This 389-nucleotide ribosomal RNA is filed under the name uncultured bacterium. Its description in RNAcentral is "bacterial SSU rRNA". It matches the Rfam family "Bacterial small subunit ribosomal RNA", at positions 28 to 417 of the family's 1533-position model. The record is from RNAcentral.
GACGAACGCUGGCGGCGUGCUUAACACAUGCAAGGUCGAGCGGUAAGGCCCUUUCGGGGGUACACGAGCGGCGAACGGGUGAGUAACACGUGGGUGACCUGCCCUCAGCUCUGGGAUAAGCCUGGGAAACCGGGUCUAAUACUGGAUAUGACUCCAUGACGCAUGUUGUGGGGUGGAAAGCCUUGUGCGGCUGAGGAUGGGCCCGCGGCCUAUCAGCUUGUUGGUGGGGUGANGGCCUACCAAGGCGACGACGGGUAGCCGGCCUGAGAGGGCGACCGGCCACACUGGGACUGAGACACGGCCCAGACUCCUACGGGAGGCAGCAGUGGGGAAUCUUGCGCAAUGGGCGAAAGCCUGACGCAGCGACGCCGCGUGAGGGAUGACGGCCU